Triticum aestivum (bread wheat) is the source of this 327-nucleotide long non-coding RNA. RefSeq lists it as uncharacterized. The transcript has 3 exons. The record is from RefSeq and is a predicted model, not a curated record. Lineage: Eukaryota; Viridiplantae; Streptophyta; Magnoliopsida; Poales; Poaceae.
UCGGGUUCACAUUCACAGUCAACACGCCACACACAGGAGGGUCGACGCUCGGCCUCCCCCGUUCACACUCACACUCCACUCCAGCCAGCUAGGUCUCUCCACCCUCCACACCGACCUCGCCGGCGGCGGCGAUCGAUGGCCGGUGUUAACCCAGCACCAGCAGGCUGGAGCGGCGGCGACCGCGACGGCGACUGCGAGGACUGCGCCGGCGGCGACGGGAAGCAGUUCGUCAUCGUCGCCUCAGAGGGCUUCCGCGACCAAGCGGGAGUGAUGACGGUGUUGGACAUGGACAGAAACAGGUUACCGAAGAAGGACUCAACAACGAAG